Molecule: long non-coding RNA, 821 nt
Filed under: Canis lupus familiaris (dog)
Lineage: Eukaryota; Metazoa; Chordata; Mammalia; Carnivora; Canidae
Description: lncRNA (ENSCAFG00000052098.1)
Source: RNAcentral
GCACUUUUUAAAAAGGAUAAAUAUCUUAAAAUAAUAAUAAUAAUUUUUUAAAAAAUCAAAAUGGAUAAAAAUCUUGAUUUCUGCCUUCUCUUUCUGCCUUUGAGAUGGAGCCACCCUCUCUCAAGCUGCCAAGACCCCACGGCUCCCUUUCAUCCCUCUGGUUUUGAGGCUCAGCUGUCAGUUAUCAUUCAUAUGCACUGGUGUUUUUCUGAUGAUAGAGAACCAGUUCUCUGUAGCCAGGCCUCCACCUGAGCAAAUCUAGCUGAGCAAGCUUCAGGACAAAUGGAGAAAGCAUAUUUCUUUGUGGAGAAAAAAUUAUUCCUAUAUGAUUUAAUAUGCACAACCAUAUGCCUACAACUCUGAUAUAUAGUGCGCAUCUUCUCCUGCACGAUGCCUGUCUCUAUCCUCUCCCUACAGGCAUUGGUGUUUGCAGCCCUUGGCCUACAAUCUUUCCACGUGUGUCUGCAGCCUCUCUCCUAUCAGAGUGGAUCUCCAGGUUCUUUGAGGAUCAUCCCCGUAACUUCUAUAGUAUCCACCGCCCUCAGUUCCCUACAACACCUGCUAUGGGACUGUUGACUAAAGACGCCUCGGUAUGUGACCGGCUGUCACUUCCAACAAAAUCUUUGAAGAUGAUAACAGGGCCUCACUGUCCUAAUCUGCAAAGUGACAGCAACAUACCUGGGAAAGCCAGCAGAAGCAGGUCUAACGACACCCCUGGGAGGAUUCUGGAGCAUCGGAGACUCAACAUACGCAAUGAUAACAUUACCUGACGUGGAGUCGAGAAGGAACAUCUGCCUCAGAAGAUGCAGUGGAUGCAGAAG